UUUUUUUUUUUUUUUUCUAUUUUUUUUUUUUAAAUUCUGAAGCCAGACCGUCUUUCCUCACAGCUCCACGGCUGCAUCUCCGUGGGCACGCAAGCUUCCCCUGGUUACCUGAGCUGCUCCUGCCGUCUCCCGCCUGGGCUUCGCCGUGGUGCACCCGAUCCCGGAAUCGUGCGUCUGCGCCCUGCGAAAGAAGGACCUGCUGGCGGAGCUCCGGCCGGGGUCUCCUGCCUCGCAGCUGGGCGAGGGGACUUGGAGGACAGGGUGAAGCUGCAGAAGACCUGGGGUGGGAUGGCUAGAGAGGACGCCAAGGACUGGGGAAGGGGAAGUUAGGAAUACCUUACAUCCAAUGCCCACCCGUGCUCCGCAGGGCAAGGGCAGCCGUCGCCUCGGCCGCGUGCACCCAGCUCAGGCUGUUCCCAGGGAUUUAGUCUGGGGGGACAACCCAUGGCGAGAUGUGGUGGCAUUUUACCUCAGAGUGGAGCUGAAGAUGGAUAAACAAGGUAUCUGAUGUAUCUGCCUGAGAAGGCAGAGCUGGAGAAAGGCGGAGCGAGGGAGCGCGUGAAAAGAAAGAGAUGCCGAAUGCCGGGUGAUUGUCUGCCGCUUGCUGUGCAUUCUCAUUCUAGGGAGGAUGGCAUAAUUUAUAACCCAGCACAUGGAUAGAGGAACUGUAAAUUGUAGUCUGGAUGUCCCCGGCGCUGUCGACGAAGGAACUGAUGGGCUAGGCUCACAGGCAGAAGGAAUUUUCCUUGUCUUGGAUGAGACUUUUGACUUGGACUUUUGGGUUAAGGCUGGAGUGCAAUGGUGCAAUCUUGGCUCACUGAAAUCUCCACCUCCUGGGUUCAAGCAAUUCUCAUGCUUCAGCCUCCCAAGUAGCUGGGAUUACAGUUCUGGAGACCAGAAGGCCAAAAUCAAAAGUAUGGGCAGGCUUGAUUUCUUUAGAAGACUCCAGCGGAGAACUGUGUCUCCUUGCUUCUGAUUCUACAUCUCCAUCCAUGGGCCACUGUUUCAGCAACCUCAGCCAGUGCAACACAACCUCAGCCAAGAAGAGUAUGCAGAGAAAGGAGUCCCCUACCUGCCACAAAACUGUUGUCUGAAAACUGUCUCAUAUUGUCUCAAGUUGUCAUUCAUUGUGAAUUAGACCUGUUUAACAUGUAAUCUGCAACAUGCUUCACUGUCUAAUUUUCCAGAGCCCCUCAUAUAAGGAACUGUAUUAUUGGUAUAAUCAUCAUGGUGAAGAAGUUGGUAUGUGGGGGAGAGAUGACAGAAACAGAGAGUAAGUCAGAGCUGGCUGCCUGACAGAUAAAAAGGAAAUGACCAAAAAAAAAAAAAAAGACACAGAAGAA
Long non-coding RNA from Homo sapiens (human), 1343 nucleotides. Ensembl annotates it as cancer susceptibility 15. Its record names the gene CASC15. Lineage: Eukaryota; Metazoa; Chordata; Mammalia; Primates; Hominidae. The record is from Ensembl.